UUCAGUUUUUAGGCUUUCAAAAUCACAAAUACAAAGGAGGAUAUAAUACAUAGUCCUAUAUUUUAUACAAAUUGGGACACUUUUCUUCAUUUCUUAUUUCGUGGCAUUGCCUAACUAUAGUCAAGCUAAUGACCCAUGUAGAUGUAGUGUUGUACCUGGUGUCCGUGUCCCUGUGAAUGUGUCAUGUUGUGCUGGCCUGAUUCCCCAACAUCAGCCCCAGGGAGCCAGCAGCUGGAGCAGCUGUCAUCUUGUGAAAGCAGAGUGUCCUUGUUGCUAUUGAUUGGGUUGUUCAGUCAAUUGCAAAAAAGUGGAUCUAACUGUCAAUGGUAGUUAUAUGAUAAUCCUGGAGAUAAAUAAGUGUCAAGUGAAGUAUUACUUGAAUUUAGGACUUGAAGAGAGAGAAAGGGGUAUGAGUAGUUGGAGGGGAAGAUUUGCUAUGACAAGCUAUUAUUCAGUGUGGUUAUUUUGUAUGACAGGUAAGUCUACAGGUAUCUUUUGUUAGAUAAAUCAGAAAUUAAGCAUUCCCUUUGUAAACUCCAAACAAGAUUUUGAAACACCAUGGUCCCCCCUUAUCCACCUCCAAGAUCUCCAGUGGAUGUCUGAAACCACUGAUAGUACUGAAGUCUCUAUAUAUUAUGUUUUUCCCCUGUAUGUAAUACAUACCUGUGAUAAAGUUUAAUUUAUAAAUUAGGCACAGGAAGAAAUUAACAAAAAUAAGUAAGAAUAGAACAGUUAUAACUAUAUGUUCUAUUAAAAGUUAUGUGAAUUUGUUUUCUCUCUCUCUCAAAAUAUCCUGUUGUGCUGUGUGUUCACCCAUUUUUGAGCUGCCGUUGACUGUGGAUAACAAACCACAGAAAGUGAAACUUCACAUAAAGGGGGACUACUGUAUUCUCAUAAUGUUAAUUGCUUCUAGAAUUCACAAGGAUUGAAUUCAACUUGAAUCUUGCUAAAGAAGUACUUUAUUAUUCGAUGUUAGUCCAGCAACAACUUAUAGUGUAGAAAUUUGCCCUUUUGAGGGUGAAUACACAAAGGGGAAAGAAAACUUGUGUGCCCACGGUCCACUAACAGAUAAGCUUCUGGAGGCCAGGAGUAAACCGCCCUGCAGGGGAGCCAUCUCCCAGGGUUUCCCCAGCAGAGAGCUGUGCCCAGUGCCGGGGUCUCAUGCUUACCUAUUUCUCUGUGCCAGUAUAGUAGACCUGUUUUCAAGCCUAGCAUGAGCCUUAAGUAUUACUGGCUGGGAGUGGUGGCUCAUGCCUGUAAUCCUAGCACUUUGGGAGGGUGAGGCAGGCGGAUUGCCUGAGCUCAGGAGUUUGAGACCAGCCUGGGCAACAUGGUGAAACCCUGUCUCUACUAAAAUACAAAAAAUUAGCCGGGCGUGGUGGCGGGCACCUGUAGUCCCAGCUACUUGGGAGGCUGAGGUAGGAGAAUUGCUUGAACCCAGGAGGCAGACAUUGCAGUGGGCUGAGAUCACGCCAGUGCACUCCAGCCUGGGUGACAGAGCGAGACUCUGUCUCCCACAAAAAAAAGAAAAAAAAAAAAAGUAUUACUUAUUUAGUAAGUCCAUAGCAUUUUGUUCACACAGUGUAUCAUUGUGCUUUUCUGUUUCAAAGUGUAAUUAUUUAAUCUAGAAAUUUUAAGUCCUGUGACAGAAAACAAAUGCUGUUCUCACAAAAUAUGAGAAAUCAAAUUCCAUCUUAUUAUUUAAAUUAAUUCUUUUUUAACUGAAGAAUUGUUAUGUGGGUAGCUUUCAACAUAAUUUUUUCAAUAUUAGAUGCUUAUAACUAAUGUGGAUUUAGUUAAUUCGAUGUUUAUCACAUUUAAUUCUUAUUUACUACAAAGGUUAAAGCAAUUUUAUUUCUUCUGGAAACUUUUAGGAUCUUGUGAGUGAGGGACGUCAGCCAAAAUUGGCAACUUUUUCAAGCAACUGGCUCAAGAAAUUAGGAAUUUCUCUAAUAAUGAGCCAUCGUUUUUUGAAUUCAACAAUUUAAAAGGGCUGCAUAGUUAGGAUAUGAUUCCAGUUUCCCCUCAGUGCAAAUUGAUAUUUUUUUCUGUUGACACAUUCUACUUUGUUUUCGAAGACUAGUUUAUAGUGUUCUUUUAAAAGCAAAGAAAAUAUCUUUAAAAAUCCCAGCUUUUUGGCUGGGUGCGGUGGCUUCAUGCCUGUGAUCCUAGCACUUUGGGAGGCUGGGGCAGGCGAAUCAUGAGGUCAGGAGUUUGAGACCAGCCUGGCCAACAUGGUGAAACCCUGUCUCUACCAAAAAUACAAAAAAAUUAGCCGGGCAUGGUGGCAGGCGCCUGUAAUCCCAGCUACUCGGGAGGCUGAGGCAGGAGAAUCACUUGAACCCAGGAGGCAGAGCUUGCAGUGAGCCGAGAUCGCGCCACUGCACUCCAGCCCGGGCGACAGAGCGAGACUCCGUCUC
RNAcentral lists this long non-coding RNA (2420 nucleotides) under Homo sapiens (human). RNAcentral's name for it is "HSALNT0358495". The record is from RNAcentral. Lineage: Eukaryota; Metazoa; Chordata; Mammalia; Primates; Hominidae.